RNAcentral lists this unclassified non-coding RNA (240 nucleotides) under soil metagenome. RNAcentral's name for it is "partial contains 5.8S ribosomal RNA, internal transcribed spacer 2, and large subunit ribosomal RNA". The record is from RNAcentral.
AACGCACGAGACCUGCGGACCUGCGGAGGGAUCAUUAUUGAAUAAACUUGGUUGGGCUGUUGCUGGCUCCUUGGAGCAUGUGCACGCCUAGCACCAAUUUUUACCACCUGUGCACCUUUGUGGACCUGGAUACCUCUCGAGGAAACUCGGUUGGAGGACUGCUGUGCGAAAGCCAGCUUUCCUUACAUUUCCGGUUCAUGUUUUCGCAUACCCCAUACGAAUGUAACAGAAUGUCGUUUA